Molecule: long non-coding RNA, 939 nt
Organism: Oxyura jamaicensis (ruddy duck)
Lineage: Eukaryota; Metazoa; Chordata; Aves; Anseriformes; Anatidae
Exons: 3
Source: RefSeq, a predicted model, not a curated record
GAUCAAGGAUUUAGAUCCUGCCUCUGGAUUUUGUCAUCAGUCGGUCAGGCGUGGCAGAGUUAACUCGGCGUGCACCUGAGGCAGCAUCCACAUUAGCCGGUCUUCUCAUUUUUCAAAAAUGCCCAAGGAUAGACAAGGGACAAUAAGCAGUGGCAUCUUGCAGCUGACAUGCACCUGCUUUUAAUUAGUCUGAUGGUGGGACACGCAGAGCAACAGAGAAAAGUGCAGCCAAGUGAAAGAUACAUCCAUCCCUGCGCAAGCUGCACAGUGAGCAGCUCCUGGGAACGUGGGCACUUCUGAACAGGGCUGUGAGAGAAGUCGGGCAAGUUUCACUCAAUUGUGCAAAAUCUCAGAGAGCAGCGUGCAGAGAGGCCCACAAAGAAAUAAAGUCCUUGAAGGAGGGAGGUGGCAGACGGGACAGGAACCUGGGCACGCAGCUGCUCGGUGCUCGGACCUUCUGCUUCCAGCCGUAACACCAAGGGAUGUUUCCAGGUGCAGUUAACUCACCACGUGAGAAAGGCUCCGCAGGGUCUCAGUGCUGACUAGACAAACACAUUUGGGUGAGAUGCUCACUGCCAAUUGACUCACGAGGUCAAUAUUUAGUGUUGAGGGGUCAAUCAUCAGUGCACGGCCUGUCUUGUUUAAGAAUAAGCCCAGUGCUAAACUCAUCUUUCAGUUUCACCAGGAGCAACAAGUCCUUGGUAUCUCCGAGGAUCAGACACUUCCCAUUCAAUACCUAAUUUCAAGAGCAAGCACCCAAUUUAGCCCAGCUCCCCUGGAAGAGUGAUGCUGAGCUGGUGCAGCGUAAGAUGAAAGCGGGGCUGUCUGCCCGCUCGCCGAGCAGAUGAACAGAGGUGAGAUGUUCUGCAGCAUGGGGCUCAGACAGAAGAGACCAGCAAGCACGUUAGUGCUGUGCCUCCUCUCUUUGUGCCCGAGCAU